UCCCCCCACACCCAUGCACACACACACAAUAUAUAUAUAGUUAACUAAUGAUAAAUAAAUAAAUAAAUAAAGUAAAAAUAAAAAGACAAGAACCCAAAAGGUUUAUAAAAAUGAGGGGGAAAAAUCCUUCAAAAUUUUCACCAUCUCCCACCAAAAAGCAUGGAAGGAGUGCUUACAUCUUGGGAAUUGGCUGAUCUCCUCCCCCUCUUCAAAGCUGAUAUGCGAACAGUACAUUCAGCAGCUUGAUCUAUGCCCUGACCGGUCCUAAUGUUGCACCAUUUAGCAGAGGUAAGGGGGUCCCAACUCCCAAGGAGAUGAGAUAGGAAUGAAAUAUUGAAAAAUAAUUAUUUACUUUAUUUAGAAUCAAUACAUUAUUUUUUUAUUUUAAUUUUGACCAUGGACAAAAUUGCAAUAAAAGUUUAAAAUCAGGACAAAGUUGCUAAAAAUUAAAAGGAUUAGACAAAAUCACAAAAACAUAUGAAGGCUCGGAUAGGCCCAUAAACUUGAGAGCCAAAUUAGCUAUAAUUUUCAGGGAUUUUCUUAAAACUACCAGUAGUUCUUUCAUAUUACGUGAAUCAAAUCCAACAACUGUUUGUGCUCAUCUAGAUAUAAUAAAAAAAAAGUGCCAUAAGAGGAAGAGGGCAUGAACCUACAAAGCAAAAAUAAAUAAAUAAGUAAAUAAAUACAUGGCAAUCCUAGAAGAGUCAAAUACUUGGCAUAGUUAUUAAAGGCGCGCCUC
Molecule: unclassified non-coding RNA, 739 nt
Filed under: Hevea brasiliensis (rubber tree)
Lineage: Eukaryota; Viridiplantae; Streptophyta; Magnoliopsida; Malpighiales; Euphorbiaceae
Source: RNAcentral